CCUACGGGUGGCAGCAGUGGGGAAUAUUGGGCAAUGGGCGCAAGCCUGACCCAGCAACGCCGCGUGAAGGAAGACGGCUCUAGGGUUGUAAACUUCCUUUUUGAGGGACGAAGAAAGCGACGGUACCUCAGGUAUAAGCCACGGCUAACUACGUGCCAGCAGUCGCGGUAAUACGUAGGUGGCAAGCGUUAUCCGGAUUUAUUGGUUGUAAAGGGCGAGUAGGCGGGAAGGCAAGUCAGAUGUGAAAACUCAGGGCUCAACCCUGAGCCUGCAUUUGAAACUGUUUUUCUUGAGUGCUGGAGAGGCAAGCGGAAUUCGGGGUGUAGCGGUGAAAUGCGUAGAUAUACGGAGGAACACCAGUGGCGAAGGCAGAUUGCUGGACAGUAACUGACGCUGAGGCGCGAAAGCGUGGGGAGCAAACAGGAUUAGAUACCCCAGUAGUC
Molecule: ribosomal RNA, 443 nt
Filed under: uncultured bacterium
Lineage: Bacteria
Description: partial 16S ribosomal RNA
Rfam family: Bacterial small subunit ribosomal RNA
Source: RNAcentral